UGCGGUCCAGUGUAGGGGGGGGCUCUUAGGUUGGCGGCGAUGGGCGCUGGGGGCGGGUGGCCUUGGCUUUGCUGCCGCCGCCGUCAACAGCCUGUCAUCGGGGUCCUGCCUAAGGUCCGGCUGGCACGGACUUGCCCGUGAGCUGGGAUGGAUUGGUUGCCGGACCGAGUCUCCUGCAGUUGGCAGGAGUAUGGGGCGGAGUGAUGCACGCCCAGUCGCUCAGCAUCGUUCGAGUUGUCAGAGACCUCGCUUCGGACCGUGUACUCCCCGUGGCUUCGUUCCCGAGCCCGGAAGCCCCUUUCUCGGGUGUGGAACUACGCUGCGCGGCCAGCUUGAGUUCCCCAAGGACGGAGUCGAAAGGUCACAUCUUAUCUGUCAGUGCUGUGUAAUGGCAAGCGACUGCACCUGCAGAACUCGAACCUAGAUCCGUAAUGCCCCCUACCUGGCUCUUUCAAGAUGGAGGAGAAGGCCUCGGGAGAGCCUGCACAUGUGGUGUCUAAACUCAAACUUCCCACCAAGGUAGAAAGCACAGGGCACUGGCUGGUGGAAGAUCAUGCUCGGAUAUGGGAAGUUUUAAAGACAGAGGAGAGCUCGAUUCAGGACUGGGGUGAAGAGGUAGAGGAAGGAGCUGUUUACCAUGUCACCCUCAAGAGAGUCCAGAUUCAACAGGCUGCCAAUAAAGGAGCGAGAUGGCU
This is a non-coding RNA of Odocoileus virginianus texanus, 695 nucleotides long. The record is from RefSeq and is a predicted model, not a curated record. NCBI's taxonomy places the organism in Eukaryota, Metazoa, Chordata, Mammalia, Artiodactyla, Cervidae.